AUACGGAGGGUGCAAGCGUUACUCGGAAUCACUGGGCGUAAAGCGCGCGCAGGCGGUCUUUUAAGUUGGAUGUGAAAGCCUACGGCUCAACCGUAGAACUGCAUCCAAAACUAUUUAGCUAGAGUGUGCGAGAGGAAGAUGGAAUUAGUUGUGUAGGGGUAAAAUCCGUAGAGAUAACUAGGAAUACCAAAAGCGAAGGCAAUCUUCUGGAACACUACUGACGCUGAGGCGCGAAAGCGUGGGGAGCAAACAGGAUUAGAAACCCUAGUAGUCC
RNAcentral lists this ribosomal RNA (274 nucleotides) under uncultured bacterium. Its description in RNAcentral is "partial 16S ribosomal RNA". It matches the Rfam family "Bacterial small subunit ribosomal RNA", at positions 523 to 796 of the family's 1533-position model. The record is from RNAcentral.